Molecule: transfer RNA, 80 nt
Filed under: Chattonella subsalsa
Lineage: Eukaryota; Raphidophyceae; Chattonellales; Chattonellaceae
Source: RNAcentral
UACACUGUGAGGUCCUUUGGCAUCCGAAGAAAUGAGAAAAUCGCUUGCCACGUCACAGUACGCGGGGAUAAAGCUCUCCA